GCUUGCUGGGGGGAUUAGUGGCGAACGGGUGAGUAACACGUGAGUAACCUGCCCUUGACUCUGGGAUAAGCCUGGGAAACUGGGUCUAAUACCGGAUAUGACUCCUCAUCGCAUGGUGGGGGGUGGAAAGCUUUUGUGGUCUUGGAUGGACUCGCGCCCUUUCACCUUGUGGGUGGGGUAAUGGCCUACCAAGGCGACGACGGGUAGCCGGCCUGAGAGGGUGACCGGCCACACUGGGACUGAGACACGGCCCAGACUCCUACGGGAGGCAGCAGUGGGGAAUAUUGCACAAUGGGCGCAAGCCUGAUGCAGCGACGCCGCGUGAGGGAUGACGGCCUUCGGGUUGAAAACCUCUUUUCAGUAGGGAAGAAGCCUUUCGGGGUGACGGUACUUGCAGAAAAAGCGCCGGCUAACUACGUGCCACCAGCCGCGGUAAUACGUAGGGCGCAAGCGUUAUCCGGAAUUAUUGGGGCGUAAGAGCUCGUAGGCGGUUUGUCGCGUUCUGCUGUGAAAGACCGGGGCUCAACUCCGGUUCUGCAGUGGGUACGGGCAGACUAGAGUGCAGUAGGGGAGACUGGAAUUCCGGUGGUAGCGUGAAAUGCGCAAAAUU
Molecule: ribosomal RNA, 610 nt
Filed under: Micrococcaceae bacterium NiB09
Lineage: Bacteria; Bacillati; Actinomycetota; Actinomycetes; Micrococcales; Micrococcaceae
Also listed under: 1 other name
Description: bacterial SSU rRNA
Rfam family: Bacterial small subunit ribosomal RNA
Source: RNAcentral